CAGCACAGGAAGAGGAGGGCACGACUGAAAUAAAAUCAGUGCCAGUGCAGUAGUGAAUGAAUGAAGCCACCACACAAUUUUCUUGUGUGGGCAGCAAAGCCUGAAAGCAGUGGAAAGCAGGCUGGAUUUGCAUGAGGAUACCAGGCAGGACAGCACUAGAGGCAAGACCUAAUAACCUUAGCAAGCCAAAAGAUGUGCAAGCUUAGUUUGCAUUUUUAUUUCACUUUGAUGCCUCCCCUCUUUUUAUUUCCCAUGCACCUAUGAUGAUUAAUAUCAAAGGGUAUUAUUGCACCUCUUCCUCCUGACAUUCAAACCAAGCAAUUUCAGUGCCUGUCAGUCAAAAAUAAGGAAGGGCAGGAGGUGAGGUCAGCUCUCCCUCAGAUCCAAGCUCUUUUUCUAUUUACAUUAAUACAAGGAAGAGCUGAACAUGCAGAGAACACACAGGAAAUGUCAUCUCUGUUCACAGACUUUUGCAUUAAAGGAUUUCCAAAGACAGCAGGAAAUUUAUGGCUCCGUUCUAUAGAGAGGAAACCCGAGGAUCUUGUGAGUUGGUGGUGGGCACCCAGCUGUGGGAGACAGAAUCCACCUUCCCCUCCUCGUCAUCCCUCCAGAGAACAAAUGCUGCUCACAUCACCCCGAGUAACUGAGCCCUUAAAGCCUGAGAGCCCAUUUGCAGAGCCAAAUUGCUUGACGGUGUCUCAGCAAGUCUAAAACAGCCGCUGUAUCUCUUGGUGAGUUUGGAAGAUGUCAGCAUAACAUACACUCUUCUCUAUUCCCUGCAGUGCACGGCUUUGGGAGAAGAAUUGCAUGCAAUUCUGCAGACACUAAACUUAAUUCCUUGCUCCCACCCUGUGAACAGGUAUUUUGGAGUUGUACACGGUUUGGUGCUGGGCCAGAGCAAAAGAAGCCGAAUGAUUCACGAGAGAAUCACUCUGGGAGACCUUUGCUCUCCUGCUGCAGACCAGGACAGGAGCACCCUGACUGCUGGCAAGUUCUCCAAAAGGUCACUAAAAAGGGUUUCCAGUGAUUAAUACAUAUAUAUUUAAGGCUAAGUCUCCUGGUGCCAGGCAUUACCUGACCUCAGGUGUCACAAGAGCAGUGGCUUUGCUUUCCCUCACCCCAAGAGGUGCUGAGCCCUGGGCUGGCAGGGGGUGACAGCAGGUUUCCCUCCCACAGGACCCUGGCACGAGGAGGAACCGCUUCUCUAAAGGUUGCAGUAAAGCACCUGUAGCUGCGUUUGAUUAAAAGUUGUAUUAGUGCUUAGCUCUUGCGUGGCGUUUGCCAUCCUGAGACUUGAAGUGAUCAACGCAAUCAAACCCUGCUUAGCGCGCGAGGAAGCGAUUGGCUUAAGGUCAUGCAGAGCCUCAGGGGAGGACAAGGAUUAGACCAAGCUCUUUGGCUGAAAAUACCACGGAAAAUGUUCCUCUCCUUCCCCUCUCAAGUUUUUCCUUCUAAUCCUGCUUCUCUGGGUCUGCAGUCGGGAGGGGACUCUUCUGUGUAACCCUCCCCAGCUUCCUGCUAAUGCACUGAUGUAAUCACGGUGGUGAAUGGCUUUUUGGAUCUUUCCUUCUGAUCUGAGAGGCGUUUCUGCUGUGCACCCCCCAGGCCUAAGGCAGUAGGCGAGAGUCAGGGACAGACAAUUCUCCCAAACCUCCAAGGUCAGGGGCAGACCGGACAGGACAGGGGACGUUCAGCUCCUUCCUUGUAGCACAGCGACUUGGAACAACUGAAGCAAAAAGCCACCCCAUCCCACCAUCAGCAAGAAACUACAUGGAAAGACUCACGUUCAUCAACUUCUCCGUCUUUAAAUUAAGAGCAGGGGGUCCUCAACUGCAUCUUUACCAUGGUGUGCACCUUCUCUGAAGGCAGGGGGGCAGCCAAUGCUCUCUGGGCUUCCAGCACCUCCUCUGCAAGAUGCUUCUUGGUUUAGAAGACGCUUCCCUUGGUGACCUGGGACCCCAAAGUGACCUGGUGCUCCCCAGAAUCAAAGCACACUGAAGCAGCACCUGGUCCUGGUGAGGAGCAGCACUCACUGAGGCACAGCUUCAGUUAAAGAAAAGAACAGGACGAGCACCACUGCUUGUCCCGUGGUAUCGGUUGCAGAGCUGCAGCUCUUUUCUCUGCUUGACAUUGAACUUGGGACAGAGCUGAAAGCACAAAUCUUCCCCUGAUGGGAGAACCAAUUAGUGCCUUUCAGCUCACUUGACUCCUCCAUGUUAGGCAGAUGGGAUCACAUUCCCUAGAAACUGAAGUACUUCUACUUGACAUCAGAAAACGUUCUCAGCUACAGCAAAACCCAUCCUUCCCAUGACCCUAGCAUGUUGCCAGCUUACUCCAGCUGAGAAGUUGGUCUAUUGCAUACAUUACUUACAAAACAUGGGUUCUUUGGUUUAUAAGCUCAAGAAUCAAAUCAAAGUGAAUCACGGCGUUAGGUACAGUUUCAUUGUUUUCCCCACAUGCUGCCUUCCCUAUGAAAAGUUUAAGGCAACGCUCAUUUAAAAUAUCUCCCUCUAUUAAGAUCACUCUCUGCUGUGACAAGGGAGCAGAAUCUUAAGAGGUACAUUGCAUAAUGUGCUCCACAAAGAACGAGUACAAUGCAUACAGAAAGAGCAGAAGUUGUUUGCACUUCGAGGGCUUCAGAAGUAUGCAGCAAGUGAUGGAAAACCACUUUUGGUACGGAACCUCCUCAGCUCUAGAUGGCAAGUAGCAUCGUGUAUUCUUAGCAGCGGUUUAAGUUAGAAACUGGAAAGAAAAAGAAACAAAAAUGCAAAGAUUGAGUUUUUCUGACAAUUCUCCUGACACCCUGGCUGGUAUAAGGUGUGACAGCAGCUUCGCAGUGGAUGCUACAAGCUCCUGUCACAGGAUGGCUCAUCGCAGCUCUUUAAACCCAUUCAUUGCUGAGAUUUCAGCACAAGAUUUGGAGGCAGGAAUGCCUCCAUGUAGGAAAUCUCAGGAAUGACUGCAGUGAGCCAGAACUGUGAGCCAGGACAAAGCUUAGAUGCUGCUUGUAUCCCUGUUAAUGACUGCAGGGGAUGUGCCAAUAAACCUUUUGCAAAAGAAACGAGAUAGCUUCCA
Molecule: long non-coding RNA, 3075 nt
Filed under: Anas platyrhynchos platyrhynchos (common mallard)
Lineage: Eukaryota; Metazoa; Chordata; Aves; Anseriformes; Anatidae
Description: lncRNA (ENSAPLG00000021157.1)
Source: RNAcentral